GCGUACACGUGAGCAACUUGUCCCACGGCGGGGGAUAGCCGGCCCAACGGCCGGGUAAUACCGCGUAAUUCAGCCGACCGCAUGAUCGGUUGUGAAAGCGGCCUUCGGGUCGCGCCGGGGAGGGGCUCGCGUCCUAUCAGCUUGUUGGCGAGGUAACGGCUCACCAAGGCUACGACGGGUAGCUGGUCUGAGAGGAUGAUCAGCCACAUUGGGACUGAGAUACGGCCCAG
This 230-nucleotide ribosomal RNA is filed under the name uncultured bacterium. RNAcentral's name for it is "partial 16S ribosomal RNA". It matches the Rfam family "Bacterial small subunit ribosomal RNA", at positions 108 to 334 of the family's 1533-position model. The record is from RNAcentral.